CCUACGGGCGGCAGCAGUGGGGAAUAUUGCACAAUGGGGGAAACCCUGAUGCAGCAAAGCCGCGUGAGUGAGGAAGUAUUUCGGUAUGUAAAGCUCUAUCAGCAGGGAAUAGAAAAGAAGGUACCUGAAAAAGAAGCACGGGAUAACUAGGUGCCAGAAGACGCGGUAAUAGGUAGGGGGCAAGCGUUAUCAGGAUUUACUGGGUGUAAAGGGAGCGUUGACGGAAAGUCAAGUAUGAGGUGAAAACACAAGGCUCAACCAUGGGAUUGAUUUUGAAAAUGGCAGUCUAGAGUACGGUAGAGGUAAGAGGAAUUCGUAGUGUAGCGGUGAAAUGCGUAGAUAUUAGGAAGAACACCAGUGGCGAAGGCGUCUUACUGGACCGAAACUGACGUUGAGGCUCGAAAGCGUGGGGAGCAAACAGGAUUAGAUACCCGAGUAGUC
This 441-nucleotide ribosomal RNA is filed under the name uncultured bacterium. RNAcentral's name for it is "partial 16S ribosomal RNA". It matches the Rfam family "Bacterial small subunit ribosomal RNA", at positions 338 to 795 of the family's 1533-position model. The record is from RNAcentral.